This 327-nucleotide unclassified non-coding RNA is filed under the name soil metagenome. Its description in RNAcentral is "partial contains 5.8S ribosomal RNA, internal transcribed spacer 2, and large subunit ribosomal RNA". The stretch from base 1 to 120 matches the Rfam family "5.8S ribosomal RNA", at positions 35 to 154 of the family's 154-position model. The record is from RNAcentral.
GAUGAAGAACGCAGCGAAAUGCGAUAAGUAGUGUGAAUUGCAGACUUUAGUGAAUCAUCGAAUUUUUGAACGCAAAUUGCGCCUUCUGGAAUUCCAUUAGGCAUGCCUGUUUGAGCGUCAUAUCUCCUUAAGCUUCAGCUUAGUGUUGGGUCCUUGUCCUGCUAGUAGCAUAGACAUACCCUAAAAAUAUUGGCAGCAAGCAAAGUCGCUCUAUGCGCAGCACAUGCGGUUUAGGGCCUGGCUUGUAAGCGUUCAUAAGAGAUAUUUGUUUGGCCUCAAAUCAGGUAGGGAUACCCGCUGAACUUAAGCAUAUCAAUAAGCGGAGGA